Molecule: long non-coding RNA, 2320 nt
Organism: Equus caballus (horse)
Lineage: Eukaryota; Metazoa; Chordata; Mammalia; Perissodactyla; Equidae
Source: Ensembl
AUGAAAUUCAUCAAUCCGAAAGAGGGCAAGAGCGGAGAGAGGGAACAGGGCCCAGGCGAGAGAAACAAAACAGCAAGGACGAGGCCAGUCUGAAGCCGAAUGAUUCAAACGUCGAGAACCAGGUGUUUCAGGGAAGAGCGAAGCCUGUCUGACAGACUCGGUGGGAGCCGCGCCCUCAGCGCAGGACGUGGGAGAUGGACGUUGAAGGAGAGACCAGGCGCGCGGACCCGGAAGAGAGCGGACAGUCGUGUUGACACAGCUGGCGCAAGAGUGUGGGGACACUGAGGCCAGGGCUCUGCUGGCGCUGAGGGGAGGGGGUCUCCUCACGCAGGACGGCCCACCCACAGGAGGACGCGUUCUAUGUCGAUGGCUUUGCUACCCUGGUCUCAAACACGGGGAGCACGGCGGCCGAGUCACAGGCGGAGACAGACCCACGGCCGGCGCAGAACACCGCAGACUUCUCCCUUCCCGCCCGACAGGACGAGCAGGCGAGAAGACGGACUGACGGAGGGGCUCAAACAACAGUGACCUCGCUGAUACACAGACAAUAACCCCCGCAGCGGGGAGCGGCGGACCACGCCAAAACCACGGAGCCCGGCCACCAAGCGAGCAGAGCUUGCGCAGGAUUUUCCUGUGUCAUCCCUGCGCAGUGGAACAACCCCAUCCGAUACCAGGGGUAUUUUUAAGUCACCGUCAGAGUCAUGUAUCUACUCUUUAAAUGUUAGAUUUGUGCAUCCUUGUUGUCAAGUAAAAUCAGCUGAUAAUUUUCUUUUCUACUGAACGUACCCCGUAUAUGACAAAGGGCCCGCCCCCAGAGUGGCUUUCUCCAGCUUGAUUUGUGGAUGGACACGCGUGUGCCAAGAGAUGAAGUUGGCAAGAGGGAAAGUCACCUCCCAUGUUGACUCAUUUAUUCACUCGUCAAAUGGGUUCUGAGGAUUCUGGAUAAACCCUGAACUGUGCCACCCAGAAGUCACCACGCUGAGGACGACAAGACCUGCAGGUGCACUACUUGGCUGGCAGACAACACCUCUGGAGUGAGGAGUUACUGAAACAAGGCCUGAAGUGUGUGAGGUCGGCUUUGGAACUGGGCAGCGAGCCCGAAGGAGCUCCAGGUGCUGCUAGCGAAGCCUUGAAGAGAUUUGCAAUGCCCUCAGGCUGGAUCACAGGCUUCCUUUACUCCACAGCCUGCUGUGGCCAUCACCGCCCCGUCUAUUGACAGUCUUGACCACCCAGAGGGACGAGAGGAUUGGAGGCCAUCACGACUGAAGAUGCUGGGAGAGCUCCACGCUGAAUUCACGACGGGGCAGAGCAGCGGCUUCGAGGAAGGAGAGCCCAGCGGGGCAGGAGGACGAGCUCGCCCUGCCCGGGUGCCACCCACACAGAGAGCCCCCAGCCUCUCUGAGAGGAGGCGCCUGUCCCGUUUGGCUCGGGCAGCAGUAACAAACGGCCACAGGCUGACGGCUUGAACAACAGACGUUCGUUCUCUCACAGUCUGGGGGCUGGACAUCCGAGAUCCGGCUGUCUCAGGGCUGGUUCCUCUGAGGGCUCGCUCCUCGGUGUGUAGACACCGUCUUCUCCCUGUGUCCUCGCAUGGUCGAACCUGUGCGUGUGUCUGCGUCCCCAUCCCCUCUUCUCAUAGGGACCCCAGUGAACGGGAUUAGGCCACCCUGGUGACCUCAGUUUACCUGAAUCACCUCCAAACAUAGACACAUUCUGGGGUCCUGAGAGUUAGGAAUGUGAAUUUGGGGGCACAUUUCAGCCCAUAACAACCCCAAACCCCAUUUCCUGAGGCUGAGGACGGGGUCAGGGGCCGCCUCUCCAACUCCAGCCCACUGCCCUGCUGGCCUCACUCCCCCACGGGUGGGCGGAGAGGCCGUGGGCAUGUCUGGAAGUUUCUGGAGUGUAGAUCACCAGCUCCCAGGGCCAUAGCAGGCUCGCAGGAGGGUGCUAGAAAUUUCCCAGCAGCUCAACCAGCCGCGCCCAAGGUUCCUCCCAGCACCGCAGCCAGGAGGCCAGGAACAAGGGCAGGAGCCCAGAGCCCCGUGCAGACACCUCUGCUGUGGACCAGACAGUCCCAGGUCACAUCUUCACGGUCUGGGUGGGGGUGGGGACUGUGCCCGGGUCCCAGGACUUCAAAGGUCCAGCCCACGUGUGCCACUCCCACCGCCUGGGCCCACCGCCCCUCCCCACCACACGGCUGCGUCCCCUCCACACGGGCGCCCCUGCCCUUCACACGCCCUGUGUCCCCUCUGAGCUCCUGCAUCCAGCCCGGGCUCACAUCAGUGUCUGAAUGACUUUUAAAAUCGUAAGAGAAACAAAG